This 524-nucleotide ribosomal RNA is filed under the name uncultured bacterium. Its description in RNAcentral is "partial 16S ribosomal RNA". It matches the Rfam family "Bacterial small subunit ribosomal RNA", at positions 28 to 523 of the family's 1533-position model. The record is from RNAcentral.
GACGAACGCUGGCGGCGUGCCUAAUACAUGCAAGUCGAGCGCAGGAAGCCGUCUGAACCCUUCGGGGGGACGACGGUGGAAUGAGCGGCGGACGGGUGAGUAACACGUAAAGAACCUGCCCAUAGGUCUGGGAUAACCACGAGAAAUCGGGGCUAAUACCGGAUGUGUCAGCGGACCGCAUGGUCCGCUGAUGAAAGGCGCUCCGGCGUCGCCCAUGGAUGGCUUUGCGGUGCAUUAGCUAGUUGGUGGGGUAACGGCCCACCAAGGCGACGAUGCAUAGCCGACCUGAGAGGGUGAUCGGCCACACUGGGACUGAGACACGGCCCAGACUCCUACGGGAGGCAGCAGUAGGGAAUCUUCCACAAUGGACGAAAGUCUGAUGGAGCAACGCCGCGUGAACGAUGAAGGCUUUCGGGUCGUAAAGUUCUGUUGUAAGGGAAGAACAAGUGCCGCAGGCAAUGGCGGCACCUUGACGGUACCUUGCGAGAAAGCCACGGCUAACUACGUGCCAGCCGCCGCCGUAA